GGAGAGGUGGCAGAGUGGUCGAAUGUACCUGACUCGAAAUCAGGCGUACCGCAAGGUACCGAGGGUUCGAAUCCCUCCCUCUCCU
Molecule: transfer RNA, 85 nt
Filed under: Sphaerotilus hippei
Lineage: Bacteria; Pseudomonadati; Pseudomonadota; Betaproteobacteria; Burkholderiales; Sphaerotilaceae
Rfam family: tRNA
About the family: Transfer RNA (tRNA) molecules are approximately 80 nucleotides in length. Their secondary structure includes four short double-helical elements and three loops (D, anti-codon, and T loops).
Source: Rfam by way of RNAcentral